CGGAGUGCCACAGGCGACCGCGGGCCGCGUUCGCGCGGCCUGAGGAAAGUCCGAGCUCCACAGGGCAAGGUGCUGGGUAACCCCCAGCGGGAGCGAUCCCAGGGAAAGUGCCACAGAAAAUAAACCGCCUCGGGCGAAAGCCCGCGGUAAGGGUGAAACGGUGCGGUAAGAGCGCACCAGCGGAGGCGGUGACGCCUCCGGCUCGGUAAACCCCACCUGGAGAAAGACCAAAUAGGGGAGAAGAGGCGGCCCGCCUCACUCGACUCCCGGGUAGGUUGCUUGAGGCGUCCGGUAACGGGCGUCCCAGAGAAAUGGUCGCCACGGAGAAAUCCGACAGAACUCGGCUUAUGAGGCACUCCGGCAU
This 364-nucleotide RNase P RNA is filed under the name Candidatus Eiseniibacteriota bacterium. RNAcentral describes it as "Candidatus Eisenbacteria bacterium RNase P RNA component class A". It matches the Rfam family "Bacterial RNase P class A". Rfam says of the family: Ribonuclease P (RNase P) is a ubiquitous endoribonuclease, found in archaea, bacteria and eukarya as well as chloroplasts and mitochondria. Its best characterised activity is the generation of mature 5'-ends of tRNAs by cleaving the 5'-leader elements of precursor-tRNAs. Lineage: Bacteria; Candidatus Eiseniibacteriota. The record is from RNAcentral.